RNAcentral lists this ribosomal RNA (724 nucleotides) under uncultured bacterium. RNAcentral describes it as "bacterial SSU rRNA". It matches the Rfam family "Bacterial small subunit ribosomal RNA", at positions 632 to 1357 of the family's 1533-position model. The record is from RNAcentral.
ACUUUUCAGCUAGAGUAUGAUAGAGGAAAGCAGAAUUUCUAGUGUAGAGGUGAAAUUCGUAGAUAUUAGAAAGAAUACCAAUUGCGAAGGCAGCUUUCUGGAUCAUUACUGACACUGAGGAACGAAAGCAUGGGUAGCGAAGAGGAUUAGAUACCCUCGUAGUCCAUGCCGUAAACGAUGUGUGUUAGACGUUGGAAAUUUAUUUUCAGUGUCGCAGCGAAAGCGAUAAACACACCGCCUGGGGAGUACGACCGCAAGGUUAAAACUCAAAUGAAUUGACGGGGACCCGCACAAGUAGUGGAGCAUGUGGUUUAAUUCGAAGAUACGCGCAGAACCUUACCAACACUUGACAUGUUCGUCGCGACUCUAAGAGAUUAGAGUUUUCGGUUCGGCCGGACGAAACACAGGUGCUGCAUGGCUGUCGUCAGCUCGUGUCGUGAGAUGUUGGGUUAAGUCCCGCAACGAGCGCAACCCUCACUUUUAGUUGCCAUCAUUAAGUUGGGCACUCUGAAAGAACUGCCAGUGAUAAGCUGGAGGAAGGUGGGGAUGACGUCAAGUCCUCAUGGCCCUUACGUGUUGGGCUACACACGUGCUACAAUGGUAUCUACAACAGGAAGCAAGACUGCGAGGUCAAGCAAAUCCUUAAAAGAUACCUCAGUUCGGAUUGCACUCUGCAACUCGAGUGCAUGAAGCUGGAAUUACUAGUAAUCGUGGAUCAGCGUGC